Molecule: non-coding RNA, 137 nt
Organism: Caenorhabditis elegans
Lineage: Eukaryota; Metazoa; Nematoda; Chromadorea; Rhabditida; Rhabditidae
Source: Ensembl
CAGGACUGGUUCUCGGCGCUUUUUUCAUUAACUCAACGUGUCCUCGACAUAUUGUGGUGAGAGACGGAUGGAAGUGAUGGAAGGGCUGGCAAAACCAUUAACCAUCGACCUCGGUUCCAAAUCAAAUCAUUUUGAAA